GCCGAUGUAGCUCAGUUGGUAGAGCAACUGAUUCGUAAUCAGUAGGUCGUGGGUUCGACUCCCAUCAUUGGCUCCA
RNAcentral lists this transfer RNA (76 nucleotides) under Methylobacter tundripaludum. RNAcentral's name for it is "tRNA-Thr". It matches the Rfam family "tRNA". Rfam says of the family: Transfer RNA (tRNA) molecules are approximately 80 nucleotides in length. Their secondary structure includes four short double-helical elements and three loops (D, anti-codon, and T loops). The record is from RNAcentral. RNAcentral also lists the same sequence under 9 other names. Lineage: Bacteria; Pseudomonadati; Pseudomonadota; Gammaproteobacteria; Methylococcales; Methylococcaceae.